UACUGAUGAAUUUCUUUCGGUUUCAUUUCCUUUAAUGGAGCUGCCUGCUACAAAUGAGCAAAAAUUGCAUGUACAAAAUGUAGGAAGAGAAGUUAGUUCUAAGGUCAAACAAAAUGGAGUUUUCUCCAAUUCUUAAUGCCUAUUUUUGUAUGUAUGCUCUUCUUUCUAACUAAGCAUUGUUCACGUCAAGUUGUAGCAGAUUGAUGAAGGCUUCUUCUCUGCACGGAAUAGUGAGGCCUCCCAUUUGGUGAUGGAACCCAAAUUCUUCUUCAGCUUUCGUAAGGAGAUUCUGGAACGAUGGAUUUUGCAGAUAUGAUAUCGGAAUCACAAAUCGCCUUUUCUGGCACUCCCCAACAUAGACUGCAACAUGUCCUUUAGGGACGCCGACUGCUUUUGAAAUCGCUCGUGCCUUGGGAAGGAUCUGCUUGAGGAAUUGGAUUGCCAUGAGUGCCUGUUUUUGAUGGAUACUCGGAGAAACUUGAAGAGGAAUGGAGAAAGAAGAAAGAAUAAGAGAACCCUACAUGAACAACAACCAGAAAUUAAUUGGAAGGUAGAGAUUGAAAUAGAAGAUAUUCACAAGAUUGAUGAAUGCUUCUUCUCUGCACGGAAUAGUGAGGCCUCCCAUUUGGUGAUGGAACCCAAAUUCUUCUUCAGCUUUCGUAAGGAGAUUCUGGAACGACGGAUUUUGUAGAUAUGAUAUCGGAAUCA
Impatiens glandulifera is the source of this 708-nucleotide long non-coding RNA. RefSeq lists it as uncharacterized. The record is from RefSeq and is a predicted model, not a curated record. The transcript has 3 exons. Lineage: Eukaryota; Viridiplantae; Streptophyta; Magnoliopsida; Ericales; Balsaminaceae.